AGUGAACGCUGGCGGCGUGCCUAAUACAUGCAAGUCGAACGGAAUUUAAAAGAGCUUGCUCUUUUAAAUUUAGUGGCGCACGGGUGAGUAAUGUAUCGCUAAUCUGCCCCUUGCUGGAGGACAACAGUUAGAAAUGACUGCUAAUACUCCAUACUCCUUUUUACCAUAAGAUAAAUCGGGAAAGAAUUUCGGCAAGGGAUGAGACUAUAUCGUAUCAGCUAGUCGGUGGGGUAACGGCCUACCGAGGCUAUGACGCGUAACUGGUCUGAGAGGAUGAUCAGUCACAUUGGAACUGAGACACGGUCCAAACUCCUACGGGAGGCAGCAGCAGGGAAUAUUGCGCAAUGGGGGAAACCCUGACGCAGCAACGCCGCGUGGAGGAUGACACUUUUCGGAGCGUAAACUCCUUUUGUUAGGGAAGAAUAAUGACG
Molecule: ribosomal RNA, 431 nt
Filed under: Campylobacter gracilis
Lineage: Bacteria; Pseudomonadati; Campylobacterota; Epsilonproteobacteria; Campylobacterales; Campylobacteraceae
Description: bacterial SSU rRNA
Rfam family: Bacterial small subunit ribosomal RNA
Source: RNAcentral